Long non-coding RNA from Solanum tuberosum (potato), 90 nucleotides. RefSeq lists it as uncharacterized. NCBI's taxonomy places the organism in Eukaryota, Viridiplantae, Streptophyta, Magnoliopsida, Solanales, Solanaceae. The transcript is spliced from 2 exons. The record is from RefSeq and is a predicted model, not a curated record.
GAAGGAGUAUAUGAAUCUCUACUUAUCAAGGGUUGUCACUGCAGACUAGGUUCAAUUCCACAGUACGUGUGAAUCCUAAUUACCCACAAG